UGGGGAAUAUUGCGCAAUGGGCGAAAGCCUGACGCAGCGACGCCGCGUGGGGGAUGACGGCCUUCGGGGUUGUAAACCUCUUUCAGCAGGGACGAAGCGAGAGUGACGGUACCUGCAGAAGAAGCACCGGCCAACUACGUGCCAGCAGCCGCGGUAAUACGUAGGGUGCAAGCGUUGUCCGGAAUUAUUGGGCGUAAAGAGCUCGUAGGCGGUUUGUUGCGUCGGCUGUGAAAACCUGAGGCUCAACCUCAGGCCUGCAGUCGAUACGAGCAGACUAGAGUGUUGCAGGGGAGACUGGAAUUCCUGGUGUAGCGGUGAAAUGCGCAGAUAUCAGGAGGAACACCGGUGGCGAAGGCGGGUCUCUGGGCAACAACUGACGCUGAGGAGCGAAAGCGUGGGGAGCGAACAGGAUUAGAUACCCUGGUAGUCCACGCCGUAAACGUUGGGCGCUAGGUGUGGGGCUCAUUCCACGAGUUCCGUGCCGCAGCUAACGCAUUAAGCGCCCCGCCUGGGGAGUACGGCCGCAAGGCUAAAAC
Molecule: ribosomal RNA, 536 nt
Filed under: uncultured bacterium
Lineage: Bacteria
Description: partial 16S ribosomal RNA
Rfam family: Bacterial small subunit ribosomal RNA
Source: RNAcentral